RNAcentral lists this ribosomal RNA (253 nucleotides) under uncultured bacterium. Its description in RNAcentral is "partial 16S ribosomal RNA". It matches the Rfam family "Bacterial small subunit ribosomal RNA", at positions 524 to 776 of the family's 1533-position model. The record is from RNAcentral.
UACGUAGGGCGCAAGCGUUAUUCGGAAUUAUUGGGCGUAAAGGGCGCGUAGGCGGCUUUUCAAGUGACGGGUGAAAUCCCUCGGCUUAACCGAGGAACUGCCUGCCAGACUGUGAGGCUUGAGACCGGGAGAGGUGAGUGGAAUUCCCAGUGUAGCGGUGAAAUGCGUAGAUAUUGGGAGGAACACCAGUGGCGAAGGCGGCUCACUGGACCGGAACUGACGCUGAGGCGCGACAGCGUGGGGAGCGAACUGG